UGCCAAUCAAAAUUCAGUUCGAAUAAAAACUUGGAUAUUCACGCGCUUGUAAAUUAAUCCACCGACCCUUUAUGCAACUUCAUAUACUUUCAUUCAUCCAUUUUGACCUAGGUAAAUAUAAGAUUUUUGAUUAGUCCCAAAUCCGAUGAUCGGUUGUCGGUAACCGGAAAUCGAAAGUCGGCAAUUAGAACUCGGCAAUAUGAUCCUUAAAAUCAGUAGUAAAGAUUGCGCCAACAAACCCUAUAAAUGUAAUUCAAACAAUGACUUAAUGAAUUAGCCGCAAACGAUAUCGGUCUGUUUCAUGAAUUGAGCAUUGAUGCUAAUUUAUCGGACCGAAUCUAUUAUCAAGGAUAUACAUUUCUGGAUACAAAUUAACUAUCGGACUAGACGAAAACUUUGCACGUGGACGUACAUGUACGAGAUGUAUUCAUCAUAAUAUGUCAGAGGAUUGCGUGGCCAACAACUCUUGAAUAUUUGCUGUUUUCGUCAUAAUUGGUAAGUUUUUCAUUAAGUUGUCUAGUUGCAUGCUUUUCACCUGUCUGGGAUUUUGUAUUAGUGAUAUUAUUAAAUUGAUUUUUAAAAAGUAUGUUGUUUACUUAUGUGAAUUCUCCCUUUAACUAUCAAAUUCUUGUCUGCAACAUAACUUAGGCAAGCAGACUGCAGUUUCUUUAUAUAAACAAGGUUACUGGUAAAUUGAUCUGUUAAUUUUAAGAUGUCCCCUUCUGAUUUUCCGUUCGUGUUAAGAAAAGAUUUCUUUAGGCUCCCCCUGACUGUACAUAGCUUCUUUCUCAGUAUUUCUCAGAUGGACAUGGAUAAUAGAAAGAAAUGCUUAAGCGUUUUUUUGCUAUUGAAAAAAUAUUUGCAACUAGGACAACACCUUGCUUAAAACUUUUUUGUAGAUGAAGAAUAAAUGAGUGGUCAAAUAAUUUUUUUGAAUGAACAAUAUAAUGUUCAAAUAAGUUUAGAAAUGAAUGAAGAUACAAGAAGUCAUUGCUUUUGUCUUUUUUACUGCAAUGACCACACUUGCACCUCUUUAACUUUUUGCAAUUUUAGAGAUUGAUUCCCUUAGGAUACCCUUAAGAUCUUUUAAGAAAUUCUGGAUUAUUUUCUUAGUGGAUUUCAUAUAUUGAAACAGCUCUUUGGUGAUAGUCAAAUUCAUUGCCAUAUCAAGGGUCAAAUUGAAAACAACCUCUUUAUUUUUAUAAGGGUAAGGUUGCGUACAUCUUAACUCCAGAAUCCCCUAAGGUGAAUGCUUAGCUGAGAGCCAUGUAAUGACUUGAGGUAAUGAAAUGUUGUUGCAUAACUUUUCCCGUGACAAUACGUAGUAAUGCAUGUAUCAAGGGGCCUUAGAGAUCCUUUAAGCAUAAUACCGACCCAUAUUUCAGCUUAAACAUAUGACUAUGAAUUGUUGGUUGAGGGGUAGUAGGAUUAAUAUCUUAAAAUGGUUGUACAGAUCUUGAGGGGCAGUUAUUUGGUGGCAUAUGGAUGAGGAUGUAGACUGAUUGAGAAGAUCUUUUUUUUUGUUUUUGAGAUAUCAGCUAGUCUGUUUACUUUUGGUGGAGAUCAAGUAUGUAGUUCUGUCUUAUUUUGUUCUUUGUAUGUUUUUUUGUAAACACACAUUGAAAUUGGAACCGGUUGCAUUAGUGUAGUAAAAGAAUAAUACGAAGCCUGGGAAUUUCAGUUAAUCACUUAAUCUCAUUUGCAUUGUACCUUUUCAAUUUACACAUUUAGGCAUUUACCAAAAUGAUCUAGUAACUAAGGAUGUUGAGAAUAGUUCUGGUUUUAACCAGACGCCUGUAUAGGUUGUCUAAUGCCUCAUCAAGAUUCUGAUUACUGAACUCUAUGUUCACUAUCUGACUCCUAAGUCAUCUAUCAGCAUCAUGCUGAUGGUGUCUUUUUUUUUUUUUUUCUGCAAUAAAGAGAGCUCAAUUUUGAGUUAAGAUCCUCAAAUUUGCUGAUGGACGCUGCCUCUUAUCACCUUUCCGACAGACUAGUUUAUUCACCAGUGCCCAACUGCUCUUCUUGAUUGUGUGUUUGACUCAUUUAUUUGGAUCAACUGAUGGACUAGUUUAUUCACCGGUGACCAACUGCUCUUCUUUGAUUGUGUGUUUGACCUAUCUAUUUGGAUCAUCUGAUGGACUAGUUUAUUCACCAGUGACUAACUGCUCUUCUUUGAUUUUGUGUUUGACCCUUCUAUUUGGAUCAUCAACGAUUUGAAGAUGCCAACUGUUAUCUUCCAUAUUCCUCAACUUUUUGACAGUUGUGCUUUCUUUGUUAUUUCGGUUGGUUUCUUGAUUGAUGUCAAGCAAUGCUUGAUUGACUUUUUAACUUCCCUUCUGGUGUUCAGCAAUGCAUCUCUAGAGACGCCACAGAUGUCCAAUAACCUAAGAGAUUCAUGUAACACAUCUUACAGGAAUUUAGCUUGGCAAACAUGGGCGAGAUCUUGCUCACUCUUGGGUAAAAAAGAAACUCAUUUAAGCAAGCAGACAUAACCGCAAGGAUGCUUUGUUUGUUAUCUAGUGAUAAUAAUGAAGAAGUUGAGGCGCUUUGGAAAGACCUCAAUCUGCACAGAUGCUCUUCAAGCUGAUCGGCAGUGGGAUGAGAUUAGAUGGCAAGCUGACAGGACGAGCAUGAUGAGGGGUUUUGGAGAUUCGGAAAGUUGCUUCCAUUUUAAAUGUUUUGAAGAAAAAAAAAAGUAGGAAAACAGAGAAUCUUUUUCACUUCGGACUUGACAUUGAAAUGAUAUUAAGCAUUUUCAUCGGCUAUGUUUCUGGUAUGUCCUCUUCUACUCAACAUCCCAGUUAAUUAUUACACAUUAUCUUCUAAGAAAUUCAAUAUUGUAUUCGAAUCUUAAAUGUGAUUUGUUUAAUCAAAUUUACACCAUAUUCCUAAUUAUGUGCUAAUGUGCUAUGCACGAAUGGUAAAGGCAUAUUAUCUCCUGUUUGUAAUGACCUUGGGGGACCAUAUGUUACCAGCUUAUCUGUAAGAAUAUCUUGGAAGAUGGAACUAAUUAAAAAGAUUUGUUCAAAUUUUUUGUAUAGCU
Molecule: RNA transcript, 3043 nt
Organism: Amaranthus tricolor (Joseph's coat)
Lineage: Eukaryota; Viridiplantae; Streptophyta; Magnoliopsida; Caryophyllales; Amaranthaceae
Exons: 3
Source: RefSeq, a predicted model, not a curated record